Long non-coding RNA from Zea mays, 5223 nucleotides. RefSeq lists it as uncharacterized. The record is from RefSeq and is a predicted model, not a curated record. The transcript has 12 exons. Lineage: Eukaryota; Viridiplantae; Streptophyta; Magnoliopsida; Poales; Poaceae.
CCUUCGAUGAAUCUAAGCCGUUCUUCCACCACGAUGCAACCGCGACCCCAACCCGCUCGUUCCCCUCCCCCUCCUCUCUUUCUCUCUCGCGCUUGACUCCCCCGCCGCCCCUUCCCGUCCCCACCCCGACGCCGUCCGCUCCCCAUCCACCAUCCCAGCGCGAUGGCUGGGAGGACCGCGCCCGCCUCCCUCCCCUCCUUCUCCCUCACGCCCGACUCCCUCGCUGCCCCUUUAUCCUGGAUCUCGUCAUGGACGCUACCACGACCAACGGUUCGACGGAGCAGGCGCCGCACUCUGCGCCACGGGACGGAGCCCGUCCCCACCCGACACCGGCCACCUCCACCCCGAGCUCCUCCGAGAAGUGAGUGAUUUCCAUUUCUUCGAUUGGAUGACGCGCGGUCGGGCCUCCGCACCUCUCUGUCCCCCUCCCCUCCCGCGGCGACAGCUUCCUCUAGGAGAUGAGCGCGCCCGCCCCCGCGCGCACCACCACCACCACGCGUCCACGCCCCUCGUGCACCUUCUCGCCCGAGGUACGCACCCUGCACCCUACACCCUGUCAAACCCUAGCUAUUAUCUACUGGGUUUCUUUCUUGGUGUUGAUAGUUUGUUGGAGAUUAGGCGUUUGAUUUCCUUUACAAAAUAGGUUCAGUUUGAAAUUGCGGCCAAAGCAAUGUUUUCAUGUGGUUUCAUCAAUUUUAGUUUCUAUAUUUACAUGUGUUUGAUUGUCCCUUGCCCUCGUUUAGAUAGAGAUUUCUAUCAAGAGUAUAGAAAGUUGGUGCCUGACAACUAGCUGCUUGCAUUCAUCCACCCCCUACUCUUAUCUUGCAAAAGCCCACUUCUUGUGUUUUGCUUGUAUAUAUAUUAGGCUGGACCAAAGUGCGGUUAAGUAACCUCUAACAAAUUGUCAUGACAUGAGCUGAUUAGCGGUCUAUUGUAAGCCCGCUCGGACUUACGAAAGUGGAGGUCACAUUUCCAUUCCACCAAUGCAUGUAGAUUUUGGUUCAGACUUCCAUCAGUGAAUGAAAAAAGGAAAAGCAAGAGAGAAUAGCAAGUACUUAUAUCAGUAUAAAAAUAUACCAAUGGGUAGUGAGCCUGCAACGUUGUGUACGUAUACAUGGGGAAAAUAUUUGGUUUGUGGCUUGUGUGAAAGGACAAUUUAGGUUUGUAUUCUAUAUCUGAGGACCAUUCAUAGCUUUCAGAUUUUGUUAUAAUUGUCAUCCCAUGGUUCUGCUCGGAACAACUCUUUCUCCAGGAUUGUUUUGGGACUGGUCAUUGCGGGCAUGUUGAGGGUAUUUAGUUAAACAAUUUUGUUAUUAUUUUAGAUUGAGUACAUCAACUCGCUGGUUGCUUACAUUUUCUUGGUCCCUAGAGCUACUCACCUCGCUGGUUGUUUACAUUUCCUUGUUCCUGGGAUCCACUUUCCUAAAAUGAAUCUGUUUUAAUCUUGUAACUGGAACUGGUGGAUAUUUUGAUAGGGAAAUUACGAUGAUUGAUUUCUGGAUUUGAGUUUCAGUUUUUUUUUGCUUGUACUGGCCUCUUGAGAUUGGAAGACUGGCGUUGUUGUGGGCUUGUGGCAUAGGCUUCCUUUGUGGGUCUUUUUCUCAUCUGAUGUAAACAAUAUUUUUUAGUCUGGUAACGGUGCAAAGGCAAAUGGGGCAUCAUCACAUAUCUAGGUCGUAUUUUCGACAGACAGAUAUAAAACGGAGUGGGAAUGCCUCGAUUGAUAUCAUGUCCAAGUUCUUCAAGCUGAUGGUGGUAGGUGUUUUGCUUUGCUACUUUCUCAUUGUUGAAGUUGUCUCCAUGUUGUAUUCACUAAAGAACCCCUAUAUUAUUUAUUUUGGAACAAACCUUUUUUGUUUUGUCCUAAAAUGAGAUCGAGCAAGAGCAUUUUUCCUGUGGGUUGAGUAAAUCUAGAUUUUUGCUUUGCAUGAUGAGACAAUCCAGAGAAUGUAUACCAAUUAUGAUGUGUGCCUUUUAUAUUUAUCUACAUUACCCAAUAUAGCAUAUUAUUCUUUGCUAUCUUAGUCUAUUAUUACUCAUGAUAUGGCAUAUUAUUCUUUUUGCUUCUUGAAAUAAUUUAACCAUAGUUCUUGGAGAUGCUAGGAUUCCAAUGCGAGACACUGUCAUCUCUUGUAGUGUCGGCUAUAUGUGUUCUACUCCUUUGCUCGAUAAAGCACCUAUUUCAUAUCUUUAGCAGUUGUCUUAUGUCACUGUCGGUAUCAUAUCCAAAUUUGUAUCCUUUUGUAUGGUAUGAUAAGUCCAAAAGCUCUAAGAUUUUUUUUGUCUUGUGCAGGUUCUACAAUUAAUGAAUGAUUUGAACGAAGUGUUCAAGAUGCCGCUAUCUCUUGUAUUGAGGUUAGUUAAUUCCAUAUUUGAUAUUGUCUGUGUAUGCCUACUUCAGCCGACAUUGUGUUUUUUCUAGACCCAUGGUGACUGGUAUGAUCUCUAUUUCUAUUGGACUUGUUCAAUUUCCCAAUAGUUACAUCCCAUAUUUACAAGCUGGAGAGAUUGAAACAUUUUUUAUAACAUCUUAUCUAUUAAAACUCCAUGUCGUUUGCUCCACCAGGGGCUUCCAGUGCGCUUUUUCCCCUCGAUCUCGUGUGAUCUGAGUGUGAGAAGGCUUAUAGUGUGCUUGAGGUUCUUCGACCUCUCUAUAAUUCCCCUAAGAUACUGGAACAAAAGGUAACUGUUGCGAUAUAUGUCAAUCUUCAAUUUCGUUGUCGCUUAGCAGUUGUUGGGCUUUGGUACCCAGUCUGUAAUUUUGCUGAUGCACCAGCGACACAUAUUUAUCAUUUUUUAUUUUUAAAUCAAUAACAAAGCACAGGUACAAUAUAAUCUUAUAUAGCUUUUAAGGUAUGUAAACAUCCACUUUAGUGAUGCUAACAAAUGUAUAAAAUAAUAAUAAUUAUUUUUUCAUAGCAAUAUAUUUUAUCAUAUUGCAUCUUAGUUCAUGCUACCUGGAUGUAAAUGUGGUGCGGUUUAGUUUAAUAAGAUCUUCACUAAUCACUACAUAGUGCAGCACUGGGCUGUUAAUAUUUUUUGUACCAUGUGUCAUAAGCAUGAGAUGUUGCCUGUAGAGUACCAAUGCUUUAUUGCAGUCUUCCUCCUCGUCUGCCCCAAUGUCGGCAAGUCAGCCCUCUUCAACAGGUGAGAGACACCUUAGGAAGGCAUCGGUCAUUGCCUCUCGCCUGUAGUUUCUAUGCCGCUAUGAGGGGUGGUGGCAUUUCCUCAAAUACGUUGCAUGUAUCACUGUAACUGUUCUUCCCCUUCCGUUACCAUUAACCCAUGCAUCUAAUUACUUGUAUAUUUUACGUUACCGUUUUCCUGUUCUCAACAUUUCAGAUUCUAGAUGAUGGUACGACAAAUUAUUUUAGGAGCGCUUUGACAUAAUUUAAAGCUUGGAAGGGAGCUUUCUAUGAUUUAUUUUUCUGACUGUUUCGUCACAUGUUCUUUCCCUAGAUGAAAGUAUUGAUUUAUUUUUGGUUCUGCAGGAUCAUUGCGUCUCUGCGAGCUAAUCAGUUCUGUGAGCGUCUCCCUAGCCCCAAUGGCGAGUCAACUGUUGAUUGUCAUCAGAUCUCAAAGAUGCCAAAUCUUGCAUUCACCAUUGCAAACAAGACUUUCACCUUAACACCAGAGCAGUACAUAGUGAAGUUGGAGCAAGCAGGACAAACUAUCUGCAUCAAUGGGUUUAUGGCAUUUGACGUACCGCCUCCUCGUGGUCCUCUCUGCUACGCUAAACAUAUCUGUACUACUCUUAAGUGUGCAAUGAGGGCGUCCACCGAGGGCAUCACCGUGCCCCCGCUCGCCCCCUCCACGCCCGCGCCUGUCUGCAUCCGCCCCCUUCGUCUCCCCGCAAUGGCCGCGUCCCUACCUCAUGUCUACGACGACAACUAGGUUAAACAUGAAGAAGUCAUCGGGCUCGGGCUCGGUGUCGUUGGCGCGGAGCAUCCCGGAGCUGUACGAGGAGAGGGGAGCCAGCAACCUCCGGGAGUUCGGGUUCCAGGAGCUCCGGGCCGCCACCAGCGACUCCAGCCGCCUGCUCAAGGUCGGCGAGGUGGCUUCGGGAGCGUUUACAAGGGCGUCGUCCGCCUUCCUGGCGGGCCCGCCGGCGGCACGGUAGUUGCCAUAAAAAACUCAAUCCCAAUGGUCAUCAGAAGUUCAAGGUUAUCUCAUUCUGGCAUAUCUCAUUUGCCUGCUGAUGAAGUGAAGCCUUUGGUUAAAUAUGAUAAUGAUGAAGAUGCACACUCACCUGGUGGCCGUGGAAGGGGUCGUGGUGGUCGAGGCCGUGGGCGGGGCAGGGGCAGAGGUGGACGUGGAAAUGGGUUCAAUGAGUAUGCUGAUGCUGGUUGGGAAGACGAUCACGCCCCUGCAUAUAUGGGCAAUGGAUAUGCCCGCGGAAGAGGUCGCAGUUUCAGGGGCCGUGGUAGGAGAGGCGACGACGAUAACCAGCCUGAAUACCAACAUGUCGGAGGUUAUUUCAAGAAGAUCCAAUUGAACCAAAAAGUGGAAUAAAAUUUCCAACAUUUCUGGAAGACGACUCCAGUCCAUCUGCAGCGGUCCUUGUUGGGAUAGGUUUCAAAGGCAUGAGAGUGAUGAGGGUCAAAAAUCUGAACCUCUACGCUUUUGGUUUAUAUAUGCAACCAACUUAUAUCCGUGAGAAGUUGGGUCCUAAGUAUGCUUCAUUUCCAACUGACAAGCUGAUGGAGAACCCUGAUUUCUAUAGUAAUCUUCUCAGGAAAUGGGUUCAAUGAGUAUGAUGAUGCUGGUUGGGAAGACGAUCACUCCCCUGCAUAUAUGGGCAAUGGAUAUGCCCGUGGAAGAGGUCGCAGUUUCAGGGGCCGUGGUAGGAGAGGCGGCGACAAUAACCAGCCUGAAUACCAACAGGUCGGAGGUUAUUACGAGUGUUCAUGCUCCAGCUUUAGGUGGGUAACCUCACAGGACACAAAUGAAGUGUACAAAAUAUUUUCAAACAAAAUUAAGCAAGGCCUGAAGAUAAUCUGAAGAGCUUUGUACAGGCGAUUUUUGAUCAUUGUUGAUCCUGAUUCCUGAUUCUUUUAUUUUUUUCAACAACAGAUUUUCACCAUUUGUAAUGGAACUGAAACCAGCCUCUCAUCGAAGUGGAAACCUUUUUUUAGUCGUAAACAUUUACAUGGUUUAUCCAGUGGUAUGCUGAUGAAAGAUGCUAAGUUUCGCUUAAUAUAAUGUAUAUGAAGGUCCUGUGUA